AAUAGAUACCCAGGUAGUCCACGCCGUAAACGAUGAGUGCUAGGUGUUAGGGGGUUUCCGUCCCUUAGUGCUGCAGCUAACGCAUUAAGCACUCCGCCUAGGGAGUACGGUCGCAAGACUGAAACUCAAAGGAAUUGACGGGGGCCCGCACAAGCGGUGGAGCAUGUGGUUUAAUUCGAAGCAACGCGAAGAACCUUACCAGGUCUUGACAUCCCGCUGACCGCCAUGGAGACAUGGCUUUCCCUUCGGGGACAGCGGUGACAGGUGGUGCAUGGUUGUCGUCAGCUCGUAUCGUGAGAUGUUGGGUUAAGUCCCGCAACGAGCGCAACCCUUGUCCUUAGUUGCCAUCAUUCAGUUGGGCACUCUAAGGAGACUGCCGUACAAAUACGGAGGAAGGUGGGGAUGACGUCAAAUCAUCAUGCCCCUUAUGACCUGGGCUACACACGUGCUACAAUGGGUGGUACAAAGGGCAGCAAAACCCGCGAGGGGGAGCGAAUCCCAAAAAAGCCAUCUCAGUUCGGAUUGCAGG
Molecule: ribosomal RNA, 529 nt
Filed under: uncultured bacterium
Lineage: Bacteria
Description: bacterial SSU rRNA
Rfam family: Bacterial small subunit ribosomal RNA
Source: RNAcentral